GCGGAUGUGGUGAAAUUGGUAGACACGCACGUUUGAGGGGCGUGUGCGCAAGCAUGGCGGUUCGAGUCCGCCCAUCCGCACCA
Molecule: transfer RNA, 83 nt
Filed under: Silvanigrella aquatica
Lineage: Bacteria; Pseudomonadati; Bdellovibrionota; Oligoflexia; Silvanigrellales; Silvanigrellaceae
Also listed under: 5 other names
Description: tRNA-Leu
Rfam family: tRNA
About the family: Transfer RNA (tRNA) molecules are approximately 80 nucleotides in length. Their secondary structure includes four short double-helical elements and three loops (D, anti-codon, and T loops).
Source: RNAcentral